GCGACAAAAACUUCUCCUUACUUUCUCUCUCCUCAAGCACAGAUCAGGCUGGCGAUAAAAUUAUACACAACUACUACUGCUUUAACUCCUUUCUUCCUCUCCAACCUUCAGUGUCCAACAAAAACUCCAAACAGACUGUAAUCGCAAAAUACACAAUAUCAAACAUUUCAAAGAAUAAUCUCCUUCUCUCUCUACAUUUUUCUCAUAUCUGAACAUAUCAAAUUCACACAUUACAUUUUCUUAAGAAAAUUGCUGCUCAGAAAUAUAUACGAAUAGAAACAAAAAUUGAUUCGAAACACAUUUUGAAAAUCAGAUGAAGAUAAAUGCGCAUGAACGAAAUUUACAACGGCAAAAACUCAUUCCAAUAAGGUAAUAAUCGGAAGAAUCUGUUAUGUACCACAGAUAUUCAAAAUCUAGAAGAAGAAAAAAAAAACAGAGUAAGAAAAUAUAAGCAGAGAUUAAUAAAAUGGCGAAGUUACGAAGUAAAUCGAAUCUCUUACCUUACUCUUCACUUGCGAAUUGAAUCUCAAACCGCAGCUCAAAAUCACAAAAAACUUGUUCAAAAUGAAAUAGGCUUUAGUACAAUCACUUUUUUUUUUGCUCAAUUUACGCACUUUCUAGAGCUUCAGGAACAAAUCAAAUCAAUCAGCAAGUGUAGAAUCUCAGCGUAUCAAACUUCCGUUAUAUUCGGAAUUGUAGAACAAAAUCUUCAAGCCCGGCGAGUCCCCGGCGGUAUUUCUGAUUCAAUAACGGAAAGUUUCGGAUUUUCAGCUCAAGGUUCU
This 782-nucleotide long non-coding RNA is filed under the name Panax ginseng (ginseng). RNAcentral's name for it is "long non-coding RNA (PGIN_LNC005400)". Lineage: Eukaryota; Viridiplantae; Streptophyta; Magnoliopsida; Apiales; Araliaceae. The record is from RNAcentral.